Molecule: unclassified non-coding RNA, 184 nt
Filed under: uncultured Chaetothyriales
Lineage: Eukaryota; Fungi; Ascomycota; Eurotiomycetes; Chaetothyriales
Description: sequence contains ITS2
Source: RNAcentral
UCACCUCUCAAGCCCCGUGCUUGACGUUGGAUGGCUUGGCCGGACCUCGCGUCUGGCCCCUCCUAAAGACAACGACGGCGGCCUGUGGUCCCCCCGGUACACUGAGCUUCUCACCGAGCACGUGCUGGAUUUGGGUGCCCGGGUCCCGGUCCUCUCCCCCGUCGCGGGGAAAUACACUAUCAAA